Molecule: ribosomal RNA, 465 nt
Filed under: Vreelandella stevensii
Lineage: Bacteria; Pseudomonadati; Pseudomonadota; Gammaproteobacteria; Oceanospirillales; Halomonadaceae
Description: partial 16S ribosomal RNA
Rfam family: Bacterial small subunit ribosomal RNA
Source: RNAcentral
CCUACGGGCGGCUGCAGUGGGGAAUAUUGGACAAUGGGGGCAACCCUGAUCCAGCCAUGCCGCGUGUGUGAAGAAGGCCCUCGGGUUGUAAAGCACUUUCAGUGAGGAAGAACGCCUGGUGGUUAAUACCCAUCAGGAAAGACAUCACUCACAGAAGAAGCACCGGCUAACUCCGUGUCAGCAGCCGCGGUAAUACGGAGGGUGCGAGCGUUAAUCGGAAUUACUGGGCGUAAAGCGCGCGUAGGUGGCUUGAUAAGCCGGUUGUGAAAGCCCCGGGCUCAACCUGGGAACGGCAUCCGGAACUGUCAAGCUAGAGUGCAGGAGAGGAAGGUAGAAUUCCCGGUGUAGCGGUGAAAUGCGUAGAGAUCGGGAGGAAUACCAGUGGCGAAGGCGGCCUUCUGGACUGACACUGACACUGAGGUGCGAAAGCGUGGGUAGCAAACAGGAUUAGAUACCCGUGUAGUC